RNAcentral lists this microRNA (22 nucleotides) under Danio rerio (zebrafish). Its description in RNAcentral is "Dre-Mir-10-P1b2-v2_5p (mature (guide))". RNAcentral also lists the same sequence under 1 other name. Lineage: Eukaryota; Metazoa; Chordata; Actinopteri; Cypriniformes; Danionidae. The record is from RNAcentral.
ACCCUGUAGAACCGAAUGUGUG